UUGAUCAUGCUCAGGAUGAACGCUGGCGGCGUGCCUAAUACAUGCAAGUCGAGCGAACGGACGAGAAGCUUGCUUCUUCUGAUGUUAGCGGCGGACGGGUGAGUAACACGUGGAUAACCUACCUAUAAGACUGGGAUAACUUCGGGAAACCGGAGCUAAUACCGGAUAAUAUUUUGAACCGCAUGGUUCAAAAGUGAAAGACGGUCUUGCUGUCACUUAUAGAUGGAUCCGCGCUGCAUUAGCUAGUUGGUAAGGUAACGGCUUACCAAGGCAACGAUGCAUAGCCGACCUGAGAGGGUGAUCGGCCACACUGGAACUGAGACACGGUCCAGACUCCUACGGGAGGCAGCAGUAGGGAAUCUUCCGCAAUGGGCGAAAGCCUGACGGAGCAACGCCGCGUGAGUGAUGAAGGUCUUCGGAUCGUAAAACUCUGUUAUUAGGGAAGAACAUAUGUGUAAGUAACUGUGCACAUCUUGACGGUACCUAAUCAGAAAGCCACGGC
This 502-nucleotide ribosomal RNA is filed under the name Staphylococcus aureus. RNAcentral's name for it is "bacterial SSU rRNA". It matches the Rfam family "Bacterial small subunit ribosomal RNA", at positions 13 to 497 of the family's 1533-position model. The record is from RNAcentral. Lineage: Bacteria; Bacillati; Bacillota; Bacilli; Caryophanales; Staphylococcaceae.